AUGGAUGAGGUCACAAGGGGUAUACAAGGAGAUAUCCCAUGGUGUAUGCUCUUUGCGGAUGAUGUGGUGCUAGUUGACGAUAGUCGGAUGGGGGUAAAUAGGAAGUUAGAGUUAUGGAGACAAACCUUGGAAUCGAAAGGGUUUAGCCUUAGUAGAACUAAAACCGAGUACAUGAUGUGCGGUUUCAGUACUACUAGCUGUGAGGAGGAGGAGGUUAGCCUUGAUGGCCAGGUGGUACCUCGGAAGGACACCUUUCGGUAUUUGGGGUCAAUGUUGCAGGAGGAUGGGGGUAUUGAUGAAGAAGUGAACCAUCGAAUCAAAGCCGGAUGGAUGAAGUGGCGCCAAGCUUCUGGCAUUCUCUGUGACAAGAGAGUGCCACAAAAGCUAAAAGGCAAGUUCUACAGGACGGCGGUGCGACCCGCAAUGUUGUAUGGCGUGGAGUGUUGGCCGACUAAAAGGCGACAUGUUCAACAGUUAGGUGUGGUGGAGAUGCAUAUGUUGAGAUGGAUGUGUGGCCACACGAGGAAGGAUCGAGUCCGGAAUGAUGAUAUACGAGAUAGAGUUUGGGUAGCACCAAUUGAGGAGAAGCUUGUCCAACAUCGUUUGAGAUGGUUUGGGCAUAUUCAGCGCAGGCCUCCAGAAGCUCCAGUGCAUAGCGGACGGCUAAAGCGUGCCGAGAAUGUCAAGAGAGGGCGGGGUCGACCGAUUUUGACAUGGGAGGAGUCCGUUAAGAGAGACCUGAAGGAUUGGAGUAUCGACAAAGAGCUAGCUAUGGACAGGGGUGCGUGGAAGCUUGCUAUCCAUGUGCCAGAGCUAUGA
This 819-nucleotide ribosomal RNA is filed under the name Triticum aestivum (bread wheat). RNAcentral describes it as "partial small subunit ribosomal RNA". The record is from RNAcentral. Lineage: Eukaryota; Viridiplantae; Streptophyta; Magnoliopsida; Poales; Poaceae.